Molecule: ribosomal RNA, 958 nt
Filed under: Pseudomonas harudinis
Lineage: Bacteria; Pseudomonadati; Pseudomonadota; Gammaproteobacteria; Pseudomonadales; Pseudomonadaceae
Description: bacterial SSU rRNA
Rfam family: Bacterial small subunit ribosomal RNA
Source: RNAcentral
CUACCAUGCCAAGUCGAGCGGAUGAAGGGAGCUUGCUUCCUGAUUCAGCGGCGGACGGGUGAGUAAUGCCUAGGAAUCUGCCUGGUAGUGGGGGACAACGUCUCGAAAGGGACGCUAAUACCGCAUACGUCCUACGGGAGAAAGUGGGGGCUCUUCGGACCUCACGCUAUCAGAUGAGCCUAGGUCGGAUUAGCUAGUUGGUGGGGUAAUGGCUCACCAAGGCGACGAUCCGUAACUGGUCUGAGAGGAUGAUCAGUCACACUGGAACUGAGACACGGUCCAGACUCCUACGGGAGGCAGCAGUGGGGAAUAUUGGACAAUGGGCGAAAGCCUGAUCCAGCCAUGCCGCGUGUGUGAAGAAGGUCUUCGGAUUGUAAAGCACUUUAAGUUGGGAGGAAGGGCACUGACCUAAUACGUCUGUGUUUUGACGUUACCGACAGAAUAAGCACCGGCUAACUCUGUGCCAGCAGCCGCGGUAAUACAGAGGGUGCAAGCGUUAAUCGGAAUUACUGGGCGUAAAGCGCGCGUAGGUGGUUUGUUAAGUUGAAUGUGAAAUCCCCGGGCUCAACCUGGGAACUGCAUCCAAAACUGGCAGGCUAGAGUAGGGCAGAGGGUGGUGGAAUUUCCUGUGUAGCGGUGAAAUGCGUAGAUAUAGGAAGGAACACCAGUGGCGAAGGCGACCACCUGGGCUCAUACUGACACUGAGGUGCGAAAGCGUGGGGAGCAAACAGGAUUAGAUACCCUGGUAGUCCACGCCGUAAACGAUGUCAACUAGCCGUUGGAAUCCUUGAGAUUUUAGUGGCGCAGCUAACGCAUUAAGUUGACCGCCUGGGGAGUACGGCCGCAAGGUUAAAACUCAAAUGAAUUGACGGGGGCCCGCACAAGCGGUGGAGCAUGUGUUUAAUUCGAAGCACGCGAAGAACCUUACCAGGCCUUGACAUCCAGUGAACCGACCAGA